GAUGAACGCUGGCGGCGUGCCUAAUACAUGCAAGUCGAGCGAACGGACGAGAAGCUUGCUUCUCUGAUGUUAGCGGCGGACGGGUGAGUAACACGUGGAUAACCUACCUAUAAGACUGGGAUAACUUCGGGAAACCGGAGCUAAUACCGGAUAAUAUUUUGAACCGCAUGGUUCAAAAGUAAAAGACGGUCUUGCUGUCACUUAUAGAUGGAUCCGCGCUGCAUUAGCUAGUUGGUAAGGUAACGGCUUACCAAGGCAACGAUGCAUAGCCGACCUGAGAGGGUGAUCGGCCACACUGGAACUGAGACACGGUCCAGACUCCUACGGGAGGCAGCAGUAGGGAAUCUUCCGCAAUGGGCGAAAGCCUGACGGAGCAACGCCGCGUGAGUGAUGAAGGUCUUCGGAUCGUAAAACUCUGUUAUUAGGGAAGAACAUAUGUGUAAGUAACUGUGCACAUCUUGACGGUACCUAAUCAGAAAGCCACGGCUAACCACGUG
RNAcentral lists this ribosomal RNA (497 nucleotides) under uncultured bacterium. Its description in RNAcentral is "partial 16S ribosomal RNA". It matches the Rfam family "Bacterial small subunit ribosomal RNA", at positions 28 to 507 of the family's 1533-position model. The record is from RNAcentral.